This 478-nucleotide ribosomal RNA is filed under the name uncultured bacterium. RNAcentral's name for it is "partial 16S ribosomal RNA". It matches the Rfam family "Bacterial small subunit ribosomal RNA", at positions 28 to 523 of the family's 1533-position model. The record is from RNAcentral.
GACGAACGCUGGCGGCGUGCUUAACACAUGCGAGUCGAACGGUAAGGCCCUUCGGGGUACACGAGUGGCGAACGGGUGAGUAACACGUGGGUGAUCUGCCCUGCACUUCGGGAUAAGCCUGGGAAACUGGGUCUAAUACCGGAUAGGACCCUGGGAUGCAUGUCAUGGGGUGGAAAGCUUUUGCGGUGUGGGAUGGGCCCGCGGUCUAUCAGCUUGUUGGUGGGGUGAUGGCCUACCAAGGCGACGAUGGGUAGCCGGCCUGAGAGGGUGACCGGCCACACUGGGACUGAGAUACGGCCCAGACUCCUACGGGAGGCAGCAGUGGGGAAUAUUGCACAAUGGGCGCAAGCCUGAUGCAGCGACGCCGCGUGAGGGAUGACGGCCUUCGGGUUGUAAACCUCUUUCAGCACCGACGAAGCGCAAGUGACGGUAGGUGCAGAAGAAGGACCGGCCAACUACGUGCCAGCCGCCGCCGUAA